AUGAACGCUGGCGGCGUGCUUAACCCAUGCAAGUCGCACGAAGCACUUUAUUUGAUUUCCUUCGGGACUGAUUAUUUUGUGACUGAGUGGCGGACGGGUGAGUAACGCGUGGGUAACCUGCCUUGUACAGGGGGAUAACAGUUGGAAACGGCUGCUAAUACCGCAUAAGCGCACAGCAUCGCAUGAUGCAGUGUGAAAAACUCCGGUGGUAUAAGAUGGACCCGCGUUGGAUUAGCUAGUUGGUGAGGUAACGGCCCACCAAGGCGACGAUCCAUAGCCGACCUGAGAGGGUGACCGGCCACAUUGGGACUGAGACACGGCCCAAACUCCUACGGGAGGCAGCAGUGGGGAAUAUUGCACAAUGGGCGAAAGCCUGAUGCAGCGACGCCGCGUGAGCGAAGAAGUAUUUCGGUAUGUAAAGCUCUAUCAGCAGGGAAGAUAAUGACGGUACCUGACUAAGAAGCACCGGCUAAAUACGUG
RNAcentral lists this ribosomal RNA (480 nucleotides) under uncultured bacterium. RNAcentral describes it as "partial 16S ribosomal RNA". It matches the Rfam family "Bacterial small subunit ribosomal RNA", at positions 29 to 507 of the family's 1533-position model. The record is from RNAcentral.